Polypterus senegalus (gray bichir) is the source of this 1322-nucleotide long non-coding RNA. RefSeq lists it as uncharacterized. The record is from RefSeq and is a predicted model, not a curated record. NCBI's taxonomy places the organism in Eukaryota, Metazoa, Chordata, Cladistia, Polypteriformes, Polypteridae. The transcript has 3 exons.
CUUGCCUUGAACUUUCUUCUACAGUUUUUGGAUUAUUCUUCUUCUGUUAUUUUCCCCGGACUGUGAUAACUUUCUGCGUGUUUGAGUUUGUCCCUACCUGUCUUUAUGCUUGGAGUACAGCUUUGAAUAUCAUGUAUUCAGUUUUGAAGUGCAGAGCCCCUGUCUAUUAACCAUGGCAUCCAAGAAGUGAGUGGAAGCAACGAAGCCAAAGAGGAAGGUUGUAGUAUUGACGAUUGAGGUGAAAAAGGAAUUUACCAUGAAGUACAGUUAUUUGCCGUGUUUAUGGAAGAUGACUCCCCUUCCAUACAUCACCACUCCUCACUACAGGCUUUGUCUGAGAGGAUUAAAUGAAUUUGGUCCCAAGGACACCCAGGGCACCCACUUUCAAGCAGAGAAGAGUAGAGAUUAAUGAAGAUUGCAAAUCCUUGAAGAACAUUAUCGUUCUAUGUCUAUAGUCUAUUAGGAGUGAAACUAAACUAAAGCUAUGAAAAAGCCAAAUUAAAAUAAUGGAUAUUAGCAGCUUUUUAAAAUGUAUUAGCCUGGUAAAUUUCUAUUGGUAAUCUGUUUUGGUCUAUUGGUGCAUUUCAUGUUCAUUCACCAUUUUGAUUUUCUAUUCUGUUUUCCAUUAUUGGUCUUCAUAGAUACCCAUACUAUCAAAAGGUUUGUUAUAUCUCUUCUCCAAAAAGAGUAAAAAUGUUUUAUUUUUGAAAACCAAAUGGGUUAUGUAAUUGUUAGAGAAUAAGAAUUUACUAUGUAGUCAAAGUAAUCAAGAAUUUUAAAAUAUGUUUUGUCAAAUUUCACUCUGGGGAUGAAUAAAUCACUAUCUAUCUAUCUAUCUAUCUAUCUAAGUUUAUUUGUUAAAGGCAUUUUCUGGAAGAAAAGUGCAGCAGAGGACUGUGACUUUUGCUAUUUUAUUUGGUUUAAUGUCUGCUCUCUGUAACAGUAGUUAAACAUAUAGAAGACAAAAUGUCUGGUGGAUCAAUGGUAUUAGAAGUUAAAACCAGCAAAAAUUAAACUUGUCACUGCCAAAAGGCAGUCUGGGAAGACAAAAGGUCUACCCUUUAAAUAUUAAAAUGGUACUAUUUAUAUAAAAGCAAACCCCUAAAACCAUUCAUUAUCUUUAUGCAUGCACACCUCAUGAAUAUGUAUAUAUGGCCUGUCAAAAUGUCAUUGGCCUAAGAGGGUCUUGGGGUGUUCACUUUGACUCUUGUUCUGCCCCACAUGUUGUUAUUUGUUGGACUGUGCAUCUUCACUAUCUUGUCAUUAUUUAACACUAGAAUCUCUGAAGCAUAUGAAAAAAUGUAUAAUCCUGGGCCACCUUA